This 676-nucleotide ribosomal RNA is filed under the name Cystobasidium laryngis. RNAcentral describes it as "eukaryotic LSU rRNA". It matches the Rfam family "Eukaryotic large subunit ribosomal RNA", at positions 1 to 663 of the family's 3401-position model. The record is from RNAcentral. Lineage: Eukaryota; Fungi; Basidiomycota; Cystobasidiomycetes; Cystobasidiales; Cystobasidiaceae.
UAGACCUCAAAUCAGUCAGGACUACCCGCUGAACUUAAGCAUAUCAAUAAGCGGAGGAAAAGAAACUAACAAGGAUUCCCCUAGUAACGGCGAGUGAAGUGGGAAAAGCUCAACUUUGAAAUCUGGUACUUUCAGUAUCCGAAUUGUAGUCUCAAGAAGUGUUUUCUGUGCCGGUCCAUGUAUGAGUCUGUUGGAACACAGCGUCAUAGAGGGUGACAACCCCGUUCAUGACAUGGAUCCCGGUGCUUUGUGAUACACUCUCGAAGAGUCGAGUUGUUUGGGAAUGCAGCUCAAAUUGGGUGGUAAAUUCCAUCUAAAGCUAAAUAUUGGCGAGAGACCGAUAGCAAACAAGUACCGUGAGGGAAAGAUGAAAAGCACUUUGGAAAGAGAGUUAACAGUACGUGAAAUUGUUGAAAGGGAAACGAUUGAAGUCAGACGUGCGUGAUGCGGUUCAGCUCUAGUUCGCUAGAGUGUACUCCGUAUCUUUGCAGGCCAACAUCGGUUUUGUUAGUCGGAUAAAGGUUUGAGAAAUGUGGCACCUUCGGGUGUGUUAUAGUCUCAGACUGAAUACGAUUGAUGGGACCGAGGAACGCAGCGCGCCGCAAGGCAAAGGUUCCGACCUUUUCGCGCUUAGGAUGUUGGUGAAAUGGCUUUAAACGACCCGUCUUGAAACACG